UGCUUAAAUUGUCUACUGGUUAAGGAAAAUUCCGAUCGGUCUCCGGUGACAAUAGACUGUCUAACUACGGCGUAAUUGUGGCCCCACAAUCGAUCCAAUUGCUGCGGACUCUUUGGCGAAGUCACCAGCGACUGCAACUGCACCAGCAACUUGUGCACAGUGCGGUCAGCGGCGUAACAUCGUCGGAAAAGGGCUUUCGGAAUCGGAGCACCCCGAGCUCAUUGGAAGAGCCGGUUGAUUGUGGUCACAUAAUGAGUGGCAGGUAUCGUGGUGGCAGCGGUGGACGCUAUGGCGGCGGUGGUGGAG
Drosophila serrata is the source of this 306-nucleotide long non-coding RNA. Lineage: Eukaryota; Metazoa; Arthropoda; Insecta; Diptera; Drosophilidae. The record is from RefSeq and is a predicted model, not a curated record.